UUUAGAUAGUCUUAUAUAUAAAAUAAUUAGAAUUUUGAAUGUAUACAUGAGGGUUUGGAUGGGGUUAAAUGAUUAAAGAAUAAUGCCCUUAAAAAAUGAAGAUUAAGAGAAUAACGGGCAAAAAAAAUGAAAAUUAGAGAAAAAAGGGGUUAAUUUUUUGAAGAUUAGAGAAAAAAGGUGUUAAUUUUUUAAAGAUUAGAGAAAAAAAGGGGUGAAAAUUAAAUGUUUACAGAAUAACAGAGACCCCCCCCCCCCCCCCAAAUCCAGACCCUCAUACAUACAUGUACAUAUAGAACAUCAUUUUUUUUCUCAAAA
This 315-nucleotide long non-coding RNA is filed under the name Mytilus galloprovincialis (Mediterranean mussel). The record is from RNAcentral. Lineage: Eukaryota; Metazoa; Mollusca; Bivalvia; Mytilida; Mytilidae.